CAGGCUUCUAUGGCACUAGUAGGCCUUCUCCAGGUUCAGAUAAGUGGGGGAUGGUGCCCAAGGCUGGUACUCUGGUCAAGCCUCACCUGGGAACUGUUCUAAGCACUUUGACCUUGGGUUAUGGUCCUACUACAAUUCCCUUGAAGAGCUCACAGUGACAGGUAGAGAAGAGUCUGCGCCUCGAUCAGAUAACCAUUUCCUCUUCUAAGUGUUAAUAUGUGGUCUCAAAGAGGCUUUAACUAGGACUGGCCUCUGUCCAAACCCAUGAGAAGAAUCAAAUUCUAACAUGGACUUGGGGGAAAGCUACCAGUGGUUGCAGCAAGUAUGAAUAGUAAAAAUUUACACUUGCCUUCACACAAGGAAGCAAGAAUACUAAAUUCCAAUCUAUGUUAUAUCAUUGUACCAGCUAUGUGACUUUGGACACUUAGUCUUCAUGUAACAUCACUGUAAGAAAAUGUUUCUAUGGAUGACAAAGAUUGAAUGAGUCACUCCACAUAGAAGAUGAGUGGACUCCUUAAUUGCUGCUCACAGGCCAGAAAUAAACAUCAUCCCAACACAGUUUUUGACUUGCAAUAGACCCUCCACAUCUCUAGGUCUCCAGUGUUCAUCCGUGUAAUGAGAUCUUGAGCUAUGUGAUUUCUCGGGACUCUUCUGGGCUUGAUAUUCCAGGAUUCUAGCAAACUUAUUACAGCUGAAGUCAUGAAGGAAAUAAUGUGCAGUGUACACUAUGUGUGCAAACAGCAACAAAGUAGGCAUUGGGCAACGGAAGCCAAUGUGCCUGAAAUUCCUAGAGCCCCAGGGUUUAGCAGGGUAAAUACUGUCAUGCUUGUGUUUACCCUGAGCUGCAAACAGAUCAGAACAAAGUGUAAGGUACAAGAAUUCUCAACACAAUUAUGUGUUUCCCAAUAUGGGUUGGUAAUCUGUGGUGUUAUUUUACUUUCUAACAAAGAAUUCAUCUUGCUUGUCCUCUGGGAACACGGUAUCUUCCUAGGGAAAAAGUCUGCUCUCAGAGAGAAGAGUACUGGUGUUGUAAUGGAGCGGACAAUAUUUAAGCACCUGACCUGGCGAUCUAGAUACAGCCUGUUUCUUCUAUUUGCAAAGCUGAAAGCUCAAGAUAAAACUACCACUGAAUUUCUCAAACCGGUCCUUGUCCCUUGGGCCUCUGUGCCGCACUCCGGAGAUUAUCAGGGCAAGAUAUUCUCCAUAUGUUGGACAUUUUGUCUCAGCAAUGAGAAAAGUAACUGAGACAGAGCCACUCACUAUACCAUCUUGGAAAACCCUGAUUCCCACCUCCGCAUGUCACUGGGUCUGGUCAGCGCUCCCAGGGUACCGUUAGAAAAGCCUUUGAAGACGGAGCUGUUUCAUUCUCCAAGAGGGUGGAGCUUCCUGCUCUGAGUACUUGGAACUUGACCUGUUCCAAAGCUCUGCCAUACAGGCCUUCAGUACUGCAGAUCUGAGACAUAAAGACUACAUAUCACAGAAGGGCAGCUGUCUGUUUAUUAUUCUAACAUCACUUUUGUAAGGAUUAUAAACAUGCAUAAUUGGAACAGAAUUAUCACAAGUAAAUGUUAUUGCUAUGGACUGAAAACACAACACAAACAAAAGCAAUUCCAUUUGUGGGCGGAAAUGAUAAUAUAAGGCUAUAUAAUUUUUGUGUGCUGCAGUAAUUGUAGAAUGCAAAGAUAACAAAUACAACAUUACAGGUGGGCAUGAGAAUUGGGCAGAACAAAAAGUGAGUCAUAACUGUGAAGCCUCGCUUCCCACUUUGCCUACACAGAGACUGAAAGCAAGUGUCAGAAGUCAGUGCAUCUCACAUUGCAAAGUGCCUGUGACUCCCCCGGGAUCUUGCUAAAAUGCAGAUUCGGGCUCAGGGGGUCUAAGGCCAGCCUAAGAUUACACACUUCACAUGCUCUCUGGUGACACCACUGGUGCUGGCCCCUGGGCUACAGGUGGAGAAGCAAAGGACAGAGCAAGGCUCAAGCCAAAUCCUCAUUGGGCCAGGCCAGGGAGGCAGCCCAGUGCCUGAUGGGAAAGGCUCAGUUGUGUCCAGUCCCUGGGGCCAAGGAAAUCAAGGCCACAAUAAAGAUGACAGCAGGAGCUCAGAGCUGAGAUGCCAGGGCCCCAUGGCUAGCACCUCCCUCCCCUUAGGGAGCUCUGGAGCACAGGGGCCUGAGUCUGGGGUGGAGCUGGAAGUAACAGCUCCACCCUUGAUGGGAGGCCUUGGCAGAGACUCCAGCCAAGGUGCCCCCACCCGGGCAGCAGCGGAGCCAGCCAAGGCCCCGUGCAACUGGCCGAUCCCCGGGGGCUCUUAGAUUUCUCCUGAGGGCCAGGCCCCUUCUGCUUGGCCCACAGCAGCUGCUAAGCUUCUGGGAGUCCUGGGGUCAGGCAGGGAAGUCCUGGGAUCAGAGAGGGGCGAGGGGAG
Long non-coding RNA from Heterocephalus glaber (naked mole-rat), 2422 nucleotides. NCBI's taxonomy places the organism in Eukaryota, Metazoa, Chordata, Mammalia, Rodentia, Bathyergidae. The record is from Ensembl.